Molecule: ribosomal RNA, 23 nt
Filed under: Golubevia pallescens
Lineage: Eukaryota; Fungi; Basidiomycota; Exobasidiomycetes; Golubeviales; Golubeviaceae
Description: partial 18S ribosomal RNA
Source: RNAcentral
AAAAAUAGGGCUUUCCCUUCUUU